Long non-coding RNA from Acanthopagrus latus (yellowfin seabream), 282 nucleotides. RefSeq lists it as uncharacterized. The record is from RefSeq and is a predicted model, not a curated record. Lineage: Eukaryota; Metazoa; Chordata; Actinopteri; Spariformes; Sparidae. The transcript has 3 exons.
GAACAGCUCUGACCUGUAUGGUGAUCAGCACUGGAGAGGAGAGACACCUGGUCCAACAAGGUGAUGGACGGUUGAAAGGACGAAUCACCAAGACGAACAAGACGAGCCGACCAAUGAAGACGAGCUGCCACAGGAACCUGAAGGGAAAGUGUUGUGCUUGAGGAGACAGAAGAGGGACGGGGCUUUAGGAGCUUGGAUUCAGCGCUGGACGACGGCCACUCACCCUCACCAGGCUCCUAGUGAUCUUCAUGACGCACCCAUCCCUCAUCAUCCUCGCUGCCA